CAGGUGAGUAGAGGUGCGAUAUUUAACAGUCUUUAGUGGAGCGUGAGAAGCAUUGAUGCUAAGGAGAAGGAAAUAUCGCCGAAGUGGUUAAUAUUCUCAGUAUUAACUGCUGGGUCUGUAGUUAAGAGCUACAGAACUGUCUCAAUAAACUUCCAUGGUUAUUGGGUUGUGCUAUCUCGUUA
This 182-nucleotide non-coding RNA is filed under the name Gottschalkia acidurici. RNAcentral's name for it is "Clostridium acidurici Lysine sequence". It matches the Rfam family "Lysine riboswitch aptamer". From Rfam's summary of the family: Riboswitches are metabolite binding domains within certain messenger RNAs that serve as precision sensors for their corresponding targets. Allosteric rearrangement of mRNA structure is mediated by ligand binding, and this results in modulation of gene expression. This family includes riboswitches that sense lysine in a number of genes involved in lysine metabolism, including lysC. RNAcentral also lists the same sequence under 1 other name. The record is from RNAcentral. Lineage: Bacteria; Bacillati; Bacillota; Tissierellia; Tissierellales; Gottschalkiaceae.